UAUUAAAGGUCUAUUCCCAAUCUGUUGGU
RNAcentral lists this non-coding RNA (29 nucleotides) under Mus musculus (house mouse). Lineage: Eukaryota; Metazoa; Chordata; Mammalia; Rodentia; Muridae. The record is from RNAcentral.